RNAcentral lists this ribosomal RNA (473 nucleotides) under uncultured soil bacterium. RNAcentral describes it as "bacterial SSU rRNA". It matches the Rfam family "Bacterial small subunit ribosomal RNA", at positions 26 to 518 of the family's 1533-position model. The record is from RNAcentral.
AGGACGAACGCUGGCGGCGUGCUUAACACAUGCAAGUCGAGCGGUAAGGCCUUUCGGGGUACACGAGCGGCGAACGGGUGAGUAACACGUGGGUGAUCUGCCCUGCACUUCGGGAUAAGCCUGGGAAACUGGGUCUAAUACCGGAUACGACCUCCUAUCGCAUGGUGGGUGGUGGAAAGAUUUAUCGGUGCAGGAUGGGCCCGCGGCCUAUCAGCUUGUUGGUGGGGUAAUGGCCUACCAAGGCGACGACGGGUAGCCGACCUGAGAGGGUGACCGGCCACGCUGGGACUGAGACGCGGCCCAGACUCCUACGGGAGGCAGCAGUGGGGAAUAUUGCACAAUGGGCGAAAGCCUGAUGCAGCGACGCCGCGUGAGGGAUGACGGCCUCGGUUGUAACCUCUUUCAGCAGGACGAAGACGCAAGUGACGGUACCUGCAGAAGAAGCACCGGCUAACUAACGUACCAGCAGCCGC